RNAcentral lists this ribosomal RNA (1225 nucleotides) under uncultured Acinetobacter sp. Its description in RNAcentral is "bacterial SSU rRNA". It matches the Rfam family "Bacterial small subunit ribosomal RNA", at positions 78 to 1322 of the family's 1533-position model. Lineage: Bacteria; Pseudomonadati; Pseudomonadota; Gammaproteobacteria; Moraxellales; Moraxellaceae. The record is from RNAcentral.
GCUUGCUACCUGACCUAGCGGCGGACGGGUGAGUAAUGCUUAGGAAUCUGCCUAUUAGUGGGGGACAACAUUCCGAAAGGAAUGCUAAUACCGCAUACGCCCUACGGGGGAAAGCAGGGGAUCUUCGGACCUUGCGCUAAUAGAUGAGCCUAAGUCAGAUUAGCUAGUUGGUGGGGUAAAGGCCUACCAAGGCGACGAUCUGUAGCGGGUCUGAGAGGAUGAUCCGCCACACUGGGACUGAGACACGGCCCAGACUCCUACGGGAGGCAGCAGUGGGGAAUAUUGGACAAUGGGCGAAAGCCUGAUCCAGCCAUGCCGCGUGUGUGAAGAAGGCCUUUUGGUUGUAAAGCACUUUAAGCGAGGAGGAGGCUACUGAGAUUAAUACUCUUGGAUAGUGGACGUUACUCGCAGAAUAAGCACCGGCUAACUCUGUGCCAGCAGCCGCGGUAAUACAGAGGGUGCGAGCGUUAAUCGGAUUUACUGGGCGUAAAGCGUGCGUAGGCGGCUUUUUAAGUCGGAUGUGAAAUCCCUGAGCUUAACUUAGGAAUUGCAUUCGAUACUGGGAAGCUAGAGUAUGGGAGAGGAUGGUAGAAUUCCAGGUGUAGCGGUGAAAUGCGUAGAGAUCUGGAGGAAUACCGAUGGCGAAGGCAGCCAUCUGGCCUAAUACUGACGCUGAGGUACGAAAGCAUGGGGAGCAAACAGGAUUAGAUACCCUGGUAGUCCAUGCCGUAAACGAUGUCUACUAGCCGUUGGGGCCUUUGAGGCUUUAGUGGCGCAGCUAACGCGAUAAGUAGACCGCCUGGGGAGUACGGUCGCAAGACUAAAACUCAAAUGAAUUGACGGGGGCCCGCACAAGCGGUGGAGCAUGUGGUUUAAUUCGAUGCAACGCGAAGAACCUUACCUGGUCUUGACAUAGUAAGAACUUUCCAGAGAUGGAUUGGUGCCUUCGGGAACUUACAUACAGGUGCUGCAUGGCUGUCGUCAGCUCGUGUCGUGAGAUGUUGGGUUAAGUCCCGCAACGAGCGCAACCCUCGCCAUUAGUUGCCAUCAUUUAGUUGGGAACUCUAAUGGGACUGCCGGUGCUAAGCCGGAGGAAGGUGGGGAUGACGUCAAGUCCUCAUGGCCCUUACAGGGUGGGCUACACACGUGCUACAAUGGCAACUACAGAGGGUUAAUCCUUAAAAGUUGUCUCAGUUCGGAUUGUCCUCUGCAACUCGAGGGCAUG